AUGUAUAUAUAAAGAAGCACCAACGAUUGUGGAAGGGCAGAAGUCAUGCAAGAGGCAGCCUAAUUCAGGGAGCAAAAAUUGUAUGAAGGAUAGUGAAUGCCAGAAGAUCUGCAUCGAAACCGAGAAAGCACUACGUGCUACUUGUGAUUAUACAUUCCCAAGGCGCAGGUGUUUUUGCCACUUUCCAUGUUAAUCAACAGAGCAGUUCCAAGACAUUUUUAUGCCCUAUGCCAAAUAAAUAUUACUAGAUGACUUUCUGCGAUGUCGCGGGAUAAAGUCCAUUUCAAUAUUAUUAUAACAAGUUUUCUAUAUAAUUGAAAUUUAUAACAAUUUUGAUAAAUUGAGUUUUUGAUAAAAAUCAAUGAAUCUUUUUGAUAGUUUAAUAAUGUAAGAAUAACGUUAAAUUUUAUUACAAUAUACUAAUUAACAAAGUUAAGGGUCUAAUCAAAAUACAUCUAUGAAUUUAGAUAAUUGGAAGAAGCUUUAGAAUAUAGAUAACUAGGGCCGGCCUGGGCUACGCCCGUGAUUUUUCUAUUAUAUUUACUUUUAGUUCUAUCAUUUUACUCUAUUUCAAUAUUAUGUAUAUAUUUACAUCUAUUAUCAAAAUAUAAAUUACUAAAAAGAAUUUAAAAUUAGACUUUUUAUUUUAUUAAUUUUUGGUCUAGCAACUUAAAAUAUUUUACUACUCAAAAUUUGUUAUUUUAUUAUUGUAAAUUAUAUAUCACGUGAUGUAUAAAAAUAUUAAAAUGAUUUAAUCUUAGUUUAAUCUGAAUAUAUUUAUUACAGCACUUAUUUAAGUUUAGCUAAAUAAAUUUUAAAGUAACGGUCGUUUUAAAUUUUAUUUUUUUGUUAAUUUUUUUUGGCUUGAGACCCGUUAAAUUUAUAACUUUCUUUUGAUUUCUUUCGUUCCUCUCCAUCUAAGUUGAUGUAUUUGCAUUAUAUAUAUAAUUAGUUUGGAUAAUGUCAUAAUUUUAUUUAUAUAACAAUGCUAUUUUCUCAGAAUGGGUUGAUGAUCAAAAUAAUUAUUAACAAAGUAUAAAAUUUUGCAUUGUGGUUAAAAAUUUAUAAUAUAGUUGUCUUUGGAUGUCACAUGCUAAUACAUGAUAUAUAACUGGAGUUUUUUUUCUCAUAUACGAAAUAGGCUUGCAUGAUCAUUAUAUCAUCCAUUUAUUACAAAUGCUUCUUGUUUUUAUGUUUAUUGUCCUCAACCUUGAAGAGCAAAGGUUUUAUUUUUAUGCUUACUCAAGUGUUCUUAAGUAUGUUAAGAAAGUACUUCCUAAUAGCUUAGUCACUCUUGUGUCUUUUGUUUUUUCAUAAACUGUCUGCUCACAUCUCGGCCAUCCAACCUCCAACUUUACAUGAAAUAUGUAUAUAACAUUAAAUAUUUACUAUAGUGGGCAUAUUCAUUCAUGCUAAAAUGAGGAAGGUGACUGACUUCGUCUUGUUUAAAUAUAAUUGUUCUUCCUUUCUUCUCCCACAAUUUAAACCAUGUAAGAGACGAACUAAUAAAGAUUAUAUAACAACCAGAAUCUAAUAAGCCAUGUAUCAAACUAAAAUCAGAAAGAAAAACAAUAAUAAUAUAACUUCUAAUAGCAUACUAAAAAUUUGAUCAUCAUCUUUCUACCUUAUUUUCAAAAGAAUGUAAAAGCUAUCUUCACUCUUGGAGUUGAUGUUUAUGUGCUUCAAGGGAUUGAAGGAUGGCUAGCAGAGCAAGUAGAAAGAGGAAGUGAUGCUCCUGUAGAUACCCUUGAAAAGUCAAAAUCAGUACCUAAGAUUAAACGUUUGCAAGCAAUUAAUAAGGUGUAUGAAUAAUAAGACCUUUGUGGUCAAUGAAGGCUUUAAACAAUUGAACAAUAAUUUUGCAGGAAUAGUUUAUGGAAAUACAAUGAAUUAGAGGUCCAUGGAUUUGCAUAAUGGUCUAAUUCAGCAAGCCCUUAAAACCAUCUAAAAAGCGUUAACAUAAAUCAACUCGGAAAGAAACUUACUGGUUUACAUUGUCAGAGAACUUCUGAUAGUGCGGAUAGCAGUAAUCUACUUCUAGACAACAGGCUCAAUCUCCCUUCUCAUCCCUCUUGUCUCCUCACCUCGCCACAAACCACCGCGUGAACACGGCACCACAAGAAUUUCCGCCACCGCAUCCGUUGUUGUCUUUCUUAACUUGCGUCCCAUCUUGAUCUCUGCUGUGAUGGCUAAAUUUGAAAAUCAUGUUCACAUCACUCUUCUCUAAGCAUUUUCGAUUCAAAGCUUCUGUUCAUCAAAGUAAGAAUUUUGGUGGCGUAUUUGAGAGCUUCUCUAAUGGCAUCGUUUUCAUAACGAAUCCUAUAAUUCUCUUCCUUGAGUGCACAAUUAUCAGCUCUCUUGAGUUGUGCCUGCAAGAAGAAACGAUGGAGAAGCAAAACUAAGGACUACUCUUUGAUUUAUUUUUUUGGAGAAGAGACAAAGCGAGGAAGAGAGAAAGUAAAAAGUUGAAAACCUUUGUCUGUGUUCUUCGGUUCUGAAACCAAAUCUUGAUCUGUCUUGGAGCUAAACCCAAUUAUAUGCUAAGUUGCUCAUCUGGAUGCUGAUAUGCUCUGUAAACAAAACCAUAAGAGAACAGAAAAGAAAGAGAUGGAGAAAACAACUGAGUAGAGAAGAAGAGAGAAUACGAUUCAAGCCAUUGGAGCUGGUGACGUGUGUGGCGGUGGAAACGCCUUUUCUUCAUUGUCUUCUUGUCCAAGAUUGGUGAGCUCACCUCUUCUUCGCAUACAGACCUUCCAAAAGCCGGAGCUGUUUAUAACAACGUCAAUUAGUAAGAGAUAUAGGAGAUACUAAGAGAAGAUGAGUAAGGCGAGGGAUCUCACAUAUAUUUAUACCAAAACCACACCCACUCCCAGAUUCAAACAACGCUUUGAAGACACAUCGUGGAGGUGUGAAUCAAUGGGAUUAAACACAAAGCCAUUAAUCAAACCGUUUCAAGUCGUGAGAAGAACAGCAAAAGUCACAGUCUGGCCAUCACACGUAGAAGAAGACGAACUUGGUUUCUUCACUGCAGCUAGGGUUAGAGGGACAGACUCCUUCUCAUUGGGCCGGAAAACUUACCAAGUCUAAAGCCCAUUCCUACAACAAACCAUCUAAGCCCAUUACGCGUAGAUUAAAUGAAACGCAACACUUUAGACACGUGUCGCAACACCAGAACUCGACUUUACUAGGUGGAUGCUGAUGUGGUACGCCCAAAAAAGAGGAAACAAUAUUAUAUAUAUAUAUUUUGUUUGUCUUAAAGCUACAUAUUCAUUUUCUUAUAAAGAUGAAAAUCAUGUAAACUAAAAUCAAAUAUUAUAUUAUUCAUUAUAACAAACUAUAAAAAUAAACUAAUACAUAACAGAAUAUGAAGCCACAUAUUCUAUAAAAAUAUUAUUUGAAAACUGCCUUAAGCAAAAUAUUAAAUAUAAUUCGGUGCAUAAUUUUUUGAAAAUAUAUUCUUAGAAUUAUUUUCUAAUCUUAUCUCUACUUCUUUUAAUAACUUAUAUAUGUGCUAAAGAUGCAUGUUAUAUUUAUAACUAGAUAUGAGCUCGUGCGUUGCAACGGGUUUUGUUUGAUGUUUUAAUUUAAUAAAGAAAAUAAAAGUUCAGUUUAAAAAAAGUACUAAAUCAUUUUAUUAUACUUUUAAGAUUGUUUUUGAUAUGUUGUGUGGGACUUAUUUUAUAAUUAAGAACUCGUUUUUACACAUAAAUUCCAGUUAAUACUUAUAUUUCAAGAACUCGUUUUUACACAUAAUUCCAGUUAAUAUUUGUAUUUUAUAAUCAUGGUGCAUAGGUGAAUUUUUAUCAACUUUCUAUUUAGUGCUAGAGAAAACACUCAUACCUAUAAAUUUAAACCCAACCCAACUUGAAUUAAGAAAAUGAAAAAAAAAUUGAAAGUUCAAUAAAGCCAAUCGAGUCAAUGACAACAUCAUACACUUUCUUAUGUAAUAGUUUAAUAUUUUAUUAAACUUAUCUAAUGCUUGAUAAUUUUAUUAAAUCAUUAUUUCUUAAUGAUAAAUUUCCAUGAUAACAUUUUAAUUAAAAAUGAAAUAGAAAAAAAUACAUAUAAAAUCAUUUAUGGUGACAAUAAUAAUAAUCUAUUUCUUAUGACCAAACAUGAAAAUAUAUAUAUAAAUGAGUUUGAUUUUCGUAUGAUUAAACAUGUGUAUUAUUUCCGUGAGACCAAACACAUAUAAAUAGCAAUCAUAACGACAUCCUAAUUUUUGAUUUUUUAAUUACAAAAUUAUUUUAUUUUUUUCAUUUUUUGUGAAAUUGUUUUAGCAUACAUUUUUAAAUAUAUUUUAAAAUUUUCUAGAUGUUUUAUUUUUAUUUAUGUUUUUGGGAAAAAUAAAAGGUAAUAAAAUUUAAACUCGUUUAUCAAUAAAAACUAUAAGUUUAUAUUUUAUAAAAUAUUCCUUUUUUAAUUAUGUCUUUGGCAAAAAAGAAAAUUUAGUUAAAAUAUUCAAUUUUUUUAAGAUAAAAAAAGAAAUAAAAAUAAUUGUUAUUAAUGAAAAUAUAUAAUAUAUUUUUCUUUAUCAAGGGUAGCUAUGUAAUAACAAUCCUGACACAUAAGAAAGUGACUUCUCAAAUAAUAUUAUAAAGAUUUGUAAUAAAUUAAAUUAAAUUCUUUCAUCUGUUGAGAUAUAUUAAAACUAUUAGUAGAUUGUCCACUUUGAGUUUAAAAGGCAAAUUCCGCAUAUAUUUAUUUUUGGUUUUCUUUCCAAAAAGCUUUAUACUAAUUAGAGUUAGAUUUCUUUUUAUAUAUUAGACUUUCUUUUGUUUAACUUUUGAUGUGAGACUUAAAUUGAAAUCUUUCAUUAGCGAUAAAAUUAUCUAUCUUAAGGAUGGAAAUACCAUAUGAGUUUCAGCAGCUAAGCUGAGGGUGGAUGAUUGUUUUUAGGAAGUAGUGUCCAAUUACAAACAAUAUUUUAUCUCUUGGUUAGCAUUUUCUCGUCUAUUUUACCUAUUUUAAGUUUAAGAAUUGUCUCUAAUUACCUAAAUCAUAGAUGUGUAUUUCAAUUCUUGUGGUUAAACUUUAUUGUAGGAUGAAAAAUAAAAGACUAAACUAACCAUCGUGUCAUUAUAAAUAGAAAUUCAUCUUAGGCUCAGUUCCUCGUACAAUACACAUAAUAUACCUUCAAACUAAAAAAAAAAAGAAAGGAGAAAAAGUAAAAAAGUAAAAUAUAGCAUGGCUACUUCCAUCAUCACCUUCCUCUUCGUUGUUCUUAUUAUCUUUUCUGCUUUUGGUAAGUAUUUACUUUAUUGUAUACAUGGCAAAUUAUAUUAUUUAUUAAAUUUCAGAUUAUUUGAUAAUCAACCCUGACAUAUUUAUGAAUAUAAUGUAUAUAUAAAGAAGCACCAACGAUUGUGGAAGGGCAGAAGUCAUGCAAGAGGCAGCCUAAUUCAGGGAGAAAAUAUUGUAUGAAGGAUAGUGAAUGCCGGAAGGUUUGCGUCGAAGCCGAGAAAGGUCAGUGAUAAAAUAUUGUAUGAAGGAUAGUGAAUGCCGGAAGAUUUGCGUCGAAACCGAGAAAGCAAUACGUGCUACUUGUGAUUAUACAUUCCCAAGCCGCCGGUGUUUCUGCCACUUUCCAUGUUAAUCAACAG
RNAcentral lists this long non-coding RNA (5603 nucleotides) under Brassica napus (rape). Its description in RNAcentral is "long non-coding RNA (BNAP_LNC014915)". Lineage: Eukaryota; Viridiplantae; Streptophyta; Magnoliopsida; Brassicales; Brassicaceae. The record is from RNAcentral.